RNAcentral lists this ribosomal RNA (849 nucleotides) under Staphylococcus aureus DAR5841. RNAcentral's name for it is "bacterial SSU rRNA". It matches the Rfam family "Bacterial small subunit ribosomal RNA", at positions 8 to 838 of the family's 1533-position model. The record is from RNAcentral. Lineage: Bacteria; Bacillati; Bacillota; Bacilli; Caryophanales; Staphylococcaceae.
AGAGUUUGAUCCUGGCUCAGGAUGAACGCUGGCGGCGUGCCUAAUACAUGCAAGUCGAGCGAACGGAUGAGAAGCUUGCUUCUCUGAUGUUAGCGGCGGACGGGUGAGUAACACGUGGAUAACCUACCUAUAAGACUGGGAUAACUUCGGGAAACCGGAGCUAAUACCGGAUAAUAUUUUGAACCGCAUGGUUCAAAAGUGAAAGACGGUCUUGCUGUCACUUAUAGAUGGAUCCGCGCUGCAUUAGCUAGUUGGUAAGGUAACGGCUUACCAAGGCAACGAUGCAUAGCCGACCUGAGAGGGUGAUCGGCCACACUGGAACUGAGACACGGUCCAGACUCCUACGGGAGGCAGCAGUAGGGAAUCUUCCGCAAUGGGCGAAAGCCUGACGGAGCAACGCCGCGUGAGUGAUGAAGGUCUUCGGAUCGUAAAACUCUGUUAUUAGGGAAGAACAUAUGUGUAAGUAACUGUGCACAUCUUGACGGUACCUAAUCAGAAAGCCACGGCUAACUACGUGCCAGCAGCCGCGGUAAUACGUAGGUGGCAAGCGUUAUCCGGAAUUAUUGGGCGUAAAGCGCGCGUAGGCGGUUUUUUAAGUCUGAUGUGAAAGCCCACGGCUCAACCGUGGAGGGUCAUUGGAAACUGGAAAACUUGAGUGCAGAAGAGGAAAGUGGAAUUCCAUGUGUAGCGGUGAAAUGCGCAGAGAUAUGGAGGAACACCAGUGGCGAAGGCGACUUUCUGGUCUGUAACUGACGCUGAUGUGCGAAAGCGUGGGGAUCAAACAGGAUUAGAUACCCUGGUAGUCCACGCCGUAAACGAUGAGUGCUAAGUGUUAGGGGGUUUCCGCCC